Molecule: transfer RNA, 61 nt
Filed under: Kryptoperidinium foliaceum
Lineage: Eukaryota; Dinophyceae; Peridiniales; Kryptoperidiniaceae
Also listed under: 1 other name
Description: partial Selenocysteine transfer RNA
Source: RNAcentral
CCCAACGGUCUUGAAAACCGUCGGCCGGUCAAACGGCCCGUGAGUUCGAAUCUCACAGCCU